Ornithodoros turicata is the source of this 298-nucleotide long non-coding RNA. RefSeq lists it as uncharacterized. NCBI's taxonomy places the organism in Eukaryota, Metazoa, Arthropoda, Arachnida, Ixodida, Argasidae. The transcript is spliced from 3 exons. The record is from RefSeq and is a predicted model, not a curated record.
UUGGCAGAGCCCUCUCCAAUAUGAAGCUGUUCAUGAUUGGCACGCUGAUAGCGCUGGUAACCGUCGUACACAUAUACGGGGGUGCUACACAGGGAGCCGCAGUCGAGGAACCUAUGUUGGAAGAAAGAACUUUGGCUAACCUCACUCACCCCCUAAGAAGAAGAAGACGAAGCGACCCAUGCGGAAAUGUGGCGUGCUGGAAUCACAACCAGUGUGGUCCAAACUGUAUAUGCGUUCUGUCCAAGGACUUUCCCCGUACGCCCACGUGCCAGACGCCAAAGAAGAAAUAAAUGUUAGC